RNAcentral lists this ribosomal RNA (700 nucleotides) under uncultured bacterium. Its description in RNAcentral is "bacterial SSU rRNA". It matches the Rfam family "Bacterial small subunit ribosomal RNA", at positions 105 to 801 of the family's 1533-position model. The record is from RNAcentral.
GGUGAGUAAUAUAUCGGAACGUACCCUGGANUGGGGGAUAACGUAGCGAANGNNACGCUAAUACCGCAUACGAUCUAAGGAUGAAAGUGGGGGAUCGCAAGACCUCAUGCUCGUGGAGCGGCCGAUAUCUGAUUAGCUAGUUGGUAGGGUAAAAGCCUACCAAGGCAUCGAUCAGUAGCUGGUCUGAGAGGACGACCAGCCACACUGGAACUGAGACACGGUCCAGACUCCUACGGGAGGCAGCAGUGGGGAAUUUUGGACAAUGGGCGAAAGCCUGAUCCAGCAAUGCCGCGUGAGUGAAGAAGGCCUUCGGGUUGUAAAGCUCUUUUGUCAGGGAAGAAACGGUGAGAGCUAAUAUCUCUUGCUAAUGACGGUACCUGAAGAAUAAGCACCGGCUAACUACGUGCCAGCAGCCGCGGUAAUACGUAGGGUGCAAGCGUUAAUCGGAAUUACUGGGCGUAAAGCGUGCGCAGGCGGUUUUGUAAGUCUGAUGUGAAAUCCCCGGGCUCAACCUGGGAAUUGCAUUGGAGACUGCAAGACUAGAAUCUGGCAGAGGGGGGUAGAAUUCCACGUGUAGCAGUGAAAUGCGUAGAUAUGUGGAGGAACACCGAUGGCGAAGGCAGCCCCCUGGGUCAAGAUUGACGCUCAUGCACGAAAGCGUGGGGAGCAAACAGGAUUAGAUACCCUGGUAGUCCACGCC